RNAcentral lists this ribosomal RNA (440 nucleotides) under uncultured Hyphomicrobiales bacterium. RNAcentral's name for it is "bacterial SSU rRNA". It matches the Rfam family "Bacterial small subunit ribosomal RNA", at positions 338 to 795 of the family's 1533-position model. The record is from RNAcentral. Lineage: Bacteria; Pseudomonadati; Pseudomonadota; Alphaproteobacteria; Hyphomicrobiales.
CCUACGGGUGGCUGCAGUGGGGAAUAUUGGACAAUGGGCGCAAGCCUGAUCCAGCCAUGCCGCGUGAGUGAUGAAGGUCUUCGGAUUGUAAAACUCUUUCGCCGGGGAAGAUAAUGACGGUACCCGGAGAAGAAGCUCCGGCUAACUUCGUGCCAGCAGCCGCGGUAAUACGAAGGGAGCUAGCGUUGUUCGGAAUUACUGGGCGUAAAGCGCACGUAGGCGGAUUUUUAAGUCAGGGGUGAAAUCCCAAGGCUCAACCUUGGAACUGCCUUUGAUACUGGAAGUCUCGAGAUCGGGAGAGGUGAGUGGAAUUCCUAGUGUAGAGGUGAAAUUCGUAGAUAUUAGGAAGAACACCAGUGGCGAAGGCGGCUCACUGGCCCGAUACUGACGCUGAGGUGCGAAAGCGUGGGGAGCAAACAGGAUUAGAUACCCGGGUAGUC